UUGUAGUUUUACAAGAAAACAAAAAAAAAAAAAAAUACUAAAUGACUGGUGAUGGUAGCUCAGCACUUAAUACCAAUGAACCAAAUAUUUAUGAUAGUAAAUUUUGCUUUAACACAACUAAAAAAAAGUAUAAUUUUGGUAUAUGGGUAGAUCAUAACUAUUAUAACAAAGUAGACAUGGGAAUUUUCAAGUUUCUUAUACAAAUAUGAUUUUGGGUUUUUGUUUAUUUUUUGUUUUGGGUACUAGGAAUUGAAAUUGGGUCUCCUACAUGUUAAGCAGGCAGCACCAACCACACUACUCCAUCCCUAGCCUUAACAUCUAAAUCUCAUAUGAUAACAUUUUUACUUUAGCCUCUUCCAACUUUCACUUUUUUGAGAGCAUAAACUCAGGCCUUGUACAUGUUAGGCAAAUACUCGAUCACUGCUUUUCAAUUCCAGUUCUAGAGUCACUGUCUUAUCUGCAUCCUGUUUCACAGUCAGUAGGAUUACAGGAGCAUAUAGCAUCAUGCCCAGCUUUUUAUGUGGGUUCUGUGAGCCCAGUGCUUCACCGACUGAGCCAUCUCUCCAAGUCUUUGCUGUUUUUGUCUUAGAAAAAAACAUAAUGUGCACUGAACAAUUUUAGGUGAUUGUAUUUGUUUAAAUUAUAUAUAAGUGUUCCCAAGAUACUUAAUUAGUUUAAUGUUUGCAAAUUUUAUCUUUAACAUACAGAAUGGGGGCUGUGGAAAUAACACCUAAGAGGUAAUAGGUUUCUCUUUAAGUUGUAAAAAAAUUAUAAAACUGAUUAUGGUAAAAGUCACACAUUUUUACAUAUGCCAAAACCCACUGAACCAUAAAAAUUUAAGUGUGAAAUUUACGGCCUGUGAAUAAAAUAUCAAGGAAGUUAUCUUAUGUAGUUGAAGUAGUAAAAACCAUGAAAGCUAUGAUGUCUCAGCACUUGACAGGUCUUUAUUUCAUUUUAAUAAAGUUUUAUUCCCCAAUUGUGAAAAAAAAAAAAAAAAAAACAACCCAUACAGAAUGUAUUCAGUCAACAAUCUGUUUAUGGUAAGCUUUGGUUUAGUGGGGUUUUGUGUUUCAUGUUUAGGCUGUAGCUCUCUUAACCACAAGAAACUUAAACCCGAAAACGAAAUUUGAGAUGCCAGACAUACAGGAGUGUAAACCACUUGCCCUUUGGUAAGGGCUCCAUGGAUAUCAAGUGAUUUGAAACACUGUUGGGUUUUAUUUUAUGUAUGUUUGGAGAGGUAAAGACAGGAAAAGAAAAGCUGUCUUUUCUGUUUAAAACAGUUUUGUCCUGGGCUGGAGACAGGGGUGGUAGCAUAUGCCUUUAGUUCUAGCACGGUAGGGCAGAGGCAGGUGGAUAUAUAAGUUCAAGUUCAGCCUGGUCUACAUAGUGAGUUCUAGGUCAUUGAGAGCUAUACGGGCAGAUUCUGUCUUUAAAAACCAUAAUAUAUAUGAAAAUAAAUAAAAACUAAUAAAUAUUAAAAUUAAUAAGAUACUUCUGUUUUUUAUUUGCUUCACAUUUGAGUUUUCAAGAAGGCUACAUUUUAGGGAAUCCAUCAUGAUGGCUCAGCAGGUGAAGGCCCUUGUCCCCAAACCUGAUGACUUGAAAAAACAAGUUAUCUUUGGGACUUAAAAAAAGGUAGAAGAAGAGAACUGACUCCUAGGAGCAAGCUGUCUUCUGACCACAUGUAUGAUGUGUCAUGGCACAUGCUCUUGAGUGGUGUGCACAUCUAUGUAGAAUAAGUAAAUGUAAUCUUUUUAAAGUAAAUUUUUAGGGUGUGGAGAUAUGGCUCAGUGGUUAAGAGCUCUGGUUGCUCUUCCAGAAGCCCUGGGUUCAAUUUCCAGCAAAAACAUGAAACCUAACAACCAUCUCUAACUUGAGUUCCAGGGGAUCAGACACCCUUUUGGUACCCACAGAUACUGAGUACACGUGUGGUGCAGAUAGAUGCAAGCAACACAUAUGCAGACACACAAAAUAAAAAUGAAUACAUCUCUUUUUAAAAAUAAAUUUGGUGACUCUAGAGAUGACUUAAGCAAUUAAGACUGCUUACUGCUCUUGCAGAGAACCCAAAUUCAGUUCCCAGCAUCCUUCUGCACUCACCUGCACAUACGCAUAUCCACAUUAGUAAAUAUAAAACAAGUACUUUUUCAGAAAGUCAGUUUAUAAACUGCUUGUGUAAACCUUUAUUUUUACUGGGUUAACUUUAUGGGGGCCUAUGGGGAUAAUUAUUUUGACCAGAAUCUAUGUAUAGGCCUGAGACUAAAACUUAGUUUUGCUGACUGUGAAGCAAUACUGUAUACCUUUCUACUUUAGUUCAUUUUUAUUAAUCCUCUUUCAGAAAAGCAAGUCACAAGGGCUGGGUGUACAGCUUAGUUGGUAGCAUGCUUGUCUAGCUUGCAUAGGGUUUGAUCCCUAAUAUUAUAAACUAGCCAUUGUGUUAUAUGCCUAUAAUCUUAUUACUCAGAAGCUAGAAGCAAGAUCAGAAAUUCAGUGUUACACUUGGCUUCAUAACAAACUUGAGGCCAGCUUAGGCUACUUAAUGAGACCAUAAAAAGGAAAGCAGAUCAUAAAAUUACAAUUUUGUCAAUUGUAUCUAAAAUAACUGCUUUAUGUUGGAUGCUUUUUUUCUCAUAAGAUAGUAUUUCUUAGUCAGACAUAGUGACAUAUGUCUAUUAUCCAAUGCUCUGGAGUCUAAGGCAGGAGGAUUUCAAGUUUCAGGCCACAAUAUGCCACUUAAUGAGAAGGAUUCAUAAUUUGUUAUAAACCUUUCAGGGAAAGGUACUUAAUUUUCCAUUAAACAUACCUGAUAUUUAAGCACUUACAUUUUAGCCUUAUAUUAGUAAGUGAUUAAAGGUACUAAGGAACAGUGAUACAGUUUUCUUUGGGUAUAGAAUCAAUAUUAUUUUUUGUAUGCCUACAUUUAUAAUCCCUUAAUGAAACUUUUUUUUUUAACUUUUAUUUUACUUAAUCUUGGGCUGUAGUUAUCCAUACAUAUGGAUACAAAUACAUUUUGAUACGCCAACAAGCCAUAAGUAAUAAUAAAUGUGUAUGGAGAAUCUCAGCUUGGGUUAGGUAUUUCAUUAAUCACUUACUUGGCAUCAAGCUAUAACAUUCUAAUGUUUUUCCUUGGGAAGUAAUUCAUUAAUGUUUUUUGUAGAUAAAUCCUAAAAUGAUCCGGUCUUGUAGGUUAUUAGGUUGGAUAACUUAAAAUCUAAUAAUAAUACUUUUUAUGCAGAUCUUUGAUGGGAAGCAGAUUCCGCAGAGAAUGGUUGAUGGAUGGAAUGCCUUUUUCUUUGAUAAAACAGAAGAGCUGGUAAUUUUUGUAUAAUUAUUACAUUAUAGUAUACUGGAUGGCAUUAGGAUAUGCAUACUUUAAUAAUUUUACUUGUUUUUAUUCUUUAUAUUUUUAAUAAUAUGUAACCUUUCUCUUCUUUUUCCUUAUCCUCCUCUUCCCAUAUUUCUCUUUUCCUUCCCAUUUUGUUAACUGAAGAAAAAGCGUUUACCUUCACUUGGGAAGAACACGGAAUCACUGGGAGAGCUUUGGUUAGGACUGCUUCGCUUCUAUACAGAAGAGUUUGAUUUUAAGGAGUAUGUAAUCAGUAUUCGGCAGAAGAAGCUGCUGACCACUUUUGAAAAGCAGUGGACUUCUAAAUGCAUUGCAAUUGAAGGUGACUGUUUACAUUACUUUCAAUUCAAGAACACAAAAAUUUAGCAGGGAAAGCUGAUCUAAAAAGAGUCAACCUCUUGUUUUCAAUCACUUAAUUUUAAGAGGAUAAUUCACUCACUUGGAUAGUUUGCGAGUAUAUAGCACUAGACUCCUGUUUGGCACACUCUACUUUAUGGCAUAAUAUUUAUAAAUAUUAAUUUAUGAAUAUUUCUUUUCUAGAUCCUUUUGACUUGAAUCAUAACCUUGGUGCUGGUGUUUCUAGAAAAAGUAAGUUUUAAAAGUAGAGAAUAUGUGCAUUCAAAUUUCUGAUAAGUAGUGUCUAAAUCUUUUGUUAUAUUCUUUCUUCAACAGUGACUAAUUUUAUUAUGAAGGCGUUUAUCAAUGGAAGGAAACUUUUUGGUACCCCCUUUUAUCCACUCAUUGGCAGAGAAGCUGUAAGUUUAUAUUUGAGAAUUUUAUUUUCUUUCUUUUUCUUGUAGAACUUCAUUGACAUUUCGGGUUUUUACAGAUGGCAGAGUGCAAGGGAGCAAAACCUCUGAUGCAGAUUUUCCCAUUCUGCAAUUCACAGAAAGGAGAAAUCUGAAGUAUCAACUUACCACGAAUCCUGCUUAAAAUCUGCUGUGGUCGCAGUGUACUGGAUUAGACAGCAGAGACAGAUUUCCUUUUUCUGACUCCACUUGCUGUUUUCACACACUGCUGUUUGGUCUCACUCAGCUUUUGCUUGCUUUCCAUUGCUUAGGAGACCAGAGGAGUUUUCAGUUUUAGAGGAAGAGACUUUGAAC
Molecule: long non-coding RNA, 4446 nt
Filed under: Mus musculus (house mouse)
Lineage: Eukaryota; Metazoa; Chordata; Mammalia; Rodentia; Muridae
Description: long non-coding RNA chr4:108538778-108543224
Source: RNAcentral